UACGUAGGUGGCAAGCGUUGUCCGGAUUUACUGGGCGUAAAGAGCGCGCAGGCGGUCGUUCAAGUCGCGUGUGAAAGCCCCCGGCUCAACUGGGGAGGGUCACGCGAUACUGAUCGACUGGAAGGCAGGAGAGGGUAGUGGAAUUCCCGGUGUAGUGGUGAAAUGCGUAGAUAUCGGGAGGAACACCAGUGGCGAAGGCGGGAUCCUGGGCCAGUACUGACGCUGAGGAGCGAAAGCGUGGGUAGCAACAGG
Molecule: ribosomal RNA, 252 nt
Filed under: uncultured bacterium
Lineage: Bacteria
Description: partial 16S ribosomal RNA
Rfam family: Bacterial small subunit ribosomal RNA
Source: RNAcentral